GUGGGGACCCCAGAGCGCCCUGCACGCCCCCUUCCUUCUUCCCCCACCAGUCCUAGACCAUCCAGAUCAAGCCCGUGGUCACCGAAUCCACUUCACAGCUCAGACAGGAGUGGCACUUGCCCGCACCACACGGCAGCCCAGGGCAGAGUGAGUCCUGUUGGGCAGGGGUGUUUGCUCUGCCCCAGCCCCUGGUGCUCGGGUCCUGAUGGCCCACACAGGACUCUGGUUCUGACUCCUCCGUUGCCCAGUUGUGUGGCUUCAGGCAGGUGUCUCUAUCUGGGCCUCAGUGUCCUCAACUGUGAGAUGGUUUCAUAACUGUCCCCCUCAUGGGGUUCGUAUCAAAUGCGGUGCCUGUCACAUGGACACAGUAAGGACAAUCAGGGGGAACACGAUGGACACGGACCCCACAGCCCAGCCGACUCUGGGGGCCUUUGUUCAGCUGUGCCUUCGUGAGGAAACCAAGCACAGAGCAGGCAAAGCACCCUCCCUGAGGGCCACAGUGUGCAGGGCAGCACUGACACCCAGGCCUGUGCGCCCACAGGAGGCCGCACCCCGCCCGGCUGCUUCCUGCCCGCCGAGCCUCAGCUCCUGCUCCCACCUCAGAGGAAACCGCCAGGCCCCGGCGGACGUCCUUGCUCUCUGCUUCCUCUUUCCCACAGGCCGACUGGGUGGCAGGGGCUCCCUGGGCCCUGCCCGGGCCUCAGUUUCCUCAUCUGUGCAGCAGGCGCAGCUGGGCAGCCCAGCCCAUAGUUAAGUUCACUCCAGAGAGGGGCACCAGACUGAGGCUCCAACCACCCUGCGCUGUCCCCUGCUGGACACCACGACGGGAACACUGAGGCCCAGCCCCCUGCCCAAGGAGCACAGAGGACAGCUCUGAACACAGGCUGUCCACUGCUGACACCAACUUCCCAGAUGGCCACUGUGAGCAGAAGUUGUGUCCUAUCCUUGCCUUUUACAAAUGACCCUGGUUGACCACAGGCAACUGAAACCACAUUAAGUGGAUGGAGGCCGGAGGAAGGACUGCACUUCAAGCCACCACCAGAAAGCUGUUCACCUGUACUGCAUCAAAAUCAAAAACUGGGCACAGAGCAUGGG
Molecule: long non-coding RNA, 1095 nt
Filed under: Heterocephalus glaber (naked mole-rat)
Lineage: Eukaryota; Metazoa; Chordata; Mammalia; Rodentia; Bathyergidae
Description: lncRNA (ENSHGLG00000040378.1)
Source: RNAcentral